AUCCUGGCUCAGGAUGAACGCUAGCUACAGGCUUAACACAUGCAAGUCGAGGGGAAACGAUAUUGGAAGCUUGCUUCCGAUAGGCGUCGACCGGCGCACGGGUGAGUAACGCGUAUCCAACCUGCCCAUCACUUGGGGAUAACCUUGCGAAAGUAAGACUAAUACCCAAUGACGUCUCUAGAAGACAUCUGAAAGAGAUUAAAGAUUUAUCGGUGAUGGAUGGGGAUGCGUCUGAUUAGCUUGUUGGCGGGGUAACGGCCCACCAAGGCGACGAUCAGUAGGGGUUCUGAGAGGAAGGUCCCCCACAUUGGAACUGAGACACGGUCCAAACUCCUACGGGAGGCAGCAGUGAGGAAUAUUGGUCAAUGGACGAGAGUCUGAACCAGCCAAGUAGCGUGCAGGAAGACGGCCCUAUGGGUUGUAAACUGCUUCUAUAAGGGAAUAAAGUGAGUCUCGUGAGACUUUUUGCAUGUACCUUAUGAAUAAGGACCGGCUAAUUCCGUG
This 504-nucleotide ribosomal RNA is filed under the name uncultured bacterium. RNAcentral's name for it is "bacterial SSU rRNA". It matches the Rfam family "Bacterial small subunit ribosomal RNA", at positions 16 to 507 of the family's 1533-position model. The record is from RNAcentral.